UUAAAUGAAAACAAAAAAAAAAGAGUAGCCUUCGUCUAGGGAUAUUUUGGACUUUAGAAGUUUAAUUAAAUUUGAAUUUUCCCGCUUUUAUGCGCAGUCACGAGACGCCCUCUAUACGGGACUUUACGAACGUACUGGAAAGUACGUAUAACCUUUACGCUGAAAGGAUGACCCGUAAAUUCGUUACACUGAAAGUCAGUUGAAUUCUCAUUUAUAAUUUCUACGCUGUUUCUCUAUAGGAAUUUCGUCCACCAAGGGCUAUCCAAAUAAUGCGGUUGGCCCUCUAUAAUGUACUAGAUAGUAGGUGAAGUCUAUUUCACAAGCAGCUGUGUGGUAUAUACUGGCUGACACAUAGUAAUUCGAAGUUCAAUGAAGUACGGCUAUAUAUAGGAACGCGCGAAGGCCUUUGGCUACAAGUUCGGCGUCGAAAAAAAUUUGAUCGAGGUAUUCAGUACAUGUACCCUUGUUACUGGGGCAAUCACUUUGCCUUACUGACAUCGUGGCACUUCUUGAACGAGGCUACAGGUUUCUUUCAUUUCUGAGAGAGGCAAUCGCACUGUAUACAUGAAAAAGAAAACCAGUGUAUUCUUGAUAACUAGGAAAAGCCAAUAAAUGCAAGAACGAUCGACCUGAGGUGUAUAUGGAUUUCAUAUUCAUACCUGCCUGUGGAAAUGCCUAUUUCGUUAUAGGGUAUAUAAACAUUGGAAACCCAUGGUAAUAUUUACGUUAAAAUAUACAAAAUCGACUUCGGUCGCUUCUUGCGUGUCGGCGUAACUGUACUGGAGCAUAUAAAGAAAAAGUCUGACGCUAUUAAAUUACAUAUUUAUUAGACACUAAUUUGGCAUCGAAAUUAACCGCACGGCGCACGAAGCUGAUACGUGAUCUUCCUGCGGAAGUGAAAGUUACAAGUUGAAACCGCAAAGAUUACAAAGCCUAAACUGAAUUAGAAAAAAAUUAUUUUCUACGUACAAAUAUAAAACGAAAGAACUCGGGAGAAACAAAUAAAUUGCGAAAAUGGAUUGAAAUAAAAAUGUUUUUAUCAAAAGUUUAACACGGUAUCCACCCUGCGGCCCCUCUCCACCAUUCGGCAUUUCCUCUAACUUUUUCACGUCGCCACUAAUUUCCAAUGAUAAGAAGAGCGAAGUCCCAUGAUAAAGCAGAGCACACGGGAUGAGUAAUAAUCUUCGAUAAAUUUUGUGCGAUAACUUUUUUUUUAUUCACAUUGUGUAAAGGUAAGUGUAUGGGGACAGAGCGAGAGAGAAAAAAAAUACAGAGUAUGGAUGAGAAAGAAGGAGAAAAAGGGAGACAAAAAAUAUAAAAAUAUCCUUUAAGAAAAAAGACCUUCUCCGGUAUCCAACCAAAAACUUGACGGGUCGAUGAAUUUAUAAUAGCAAUUAGUCCUGAAGGACAGUAAUAGGGUAAUGGGAAACCGGCAUUGAAGGGGUGUCUUUUCAUAACACGUAAAAUUAAGGGAGGAUUUUGGGCUUUUGUUAAAUUAACAAUCGGCUUAAUUACUUGUCAU
Cephus cinctus (wheat stem sawfly) is the source of this 1522-nucleotide long non-coding RNA. RefSeq lists it as uncharacterized. NCBI's taxonomy places the organism in Eukaryota, Metazoa, Arthropoda, Insecta, Hymenoptera, Cephidae. The transcript is spliced from 5 exons. The record is from RefSeq and is a predicted model, not a curated record.